UGCCCAGCAACUCCUAUCCCUACCUCCUCGUGGUACUGGCCGGGGUACGAAUAACCUUGGGGAAGAUCGGGUAACCAACCCCCGGUGGGAACUUUGGUCGUAUGCUGACAGGGAAGG
Molecule: ribozyme, 117 nt
Filed under: Aedes aegypti (yellow fever mosquito)
Lineage: Eukaryota; Metazoa; Arthropoda; Insecta; Diptera; Culicidae
Description: drz-agam-1 ribozyme
Rfam family: drz-agam-1 ribozyme
Source: Rfam by way of RNAcentral